Molecule: long non-coding RNA, 932 nt
Organism: Alligator mississippiensis (American alligator)
Lineage: Eukaryota; Metazoa; Chordata; Crocodylia; Alligatoridae
Exons: 2
Source: RefSeq, a predicted model, not a curated record
CAUCCCUUUAUCCAUGUCUACAUUUCUGGAGGAGCAGGUGCAGGACCCAAGAAUGGUGAAGGUUCUGUUACGGGAUGUGGUUAUUGUGGGACGGGUGGAGAUGUGUUGGCAGGUUUUACAUUUCUUGUCCUGGCAUGAUCUGGAUCCAUUCGGUGUGCUUUGGGCCACAGGAAGCUUGCUUCUAGUGAUGAGGUUGGCAAGGUUCAGUGCCUGUUUAAAGGCUAGGAUGAGUGGUUUGGGAAGAUCUCUUUAAGAAUGGGGUCUUCUUCUAGUAUAGGUUGCAAUUGUUUGAGGAUUUUCCAUAUAGGUUCCAGGAAAGGAUGGUAUGUCAUAACUAAUGUUGUGUGAUUCGUGGGGAUUUUCUUUUUGUACUGCAGCAAGUCUUCACAUGAUAUCUGGAUGCCUCUUUCAAAAGUGCAACCUAGCAGCUUUAUUGUGUAUUCCAGAAGAGCUCCUGGAUCUCUGUGAUGUCUGUAUCUAUUACAUCACCCUCUUUUUCUCAUCAGACUGUUCUUCCGGAAUGUCCUUCCCUGGAGCAUUACCUGGUAUCCUCACUGACCUUGCAAGGGGGUGGCAGGUCCCUAACCACUGUGGCAUCCAGAUUGGCUUAGUAGCAGCAUGUACAAUGGCAGCCCCAAAUCUCUUGUUGGACCCUUUGGCCUUCAGGAAUCAGAAGCUGAGCAUCAGAUUUUGCACUUGAGAGUCUUCAGCCCAUUUGUAUUGAAUUUUUUCUUAACUGUUGUCUUUGCUCAUCUUUCAUCCCAGAAUUCAGUUUUCCUCCCCUUGCUCCAGGGCUGCCAUCUGGUACUAGCCAGUGAUUCAAUUCUCUCCAUCACUGGUAGAAGUAGGAAAGACAGAUUCAUCUGAAAGUACAUAUUAAACUUGCAAGUCAGUGCUUUGGUUUUCCCAGAUUAAAAUCUUCCCUAUUCUUA